Molecule: ribosomal RNA, 661 nt
Filed under: Pseudomonas corrugata
Lineage: Bacteria; Pseudomonadati; Pseudomonadota; Gammaproteobacteria; Pseudomonadales; Pseudomonadaceae
Description: bacterial SSU rRNA
Rfam family: Bacterial small subunit ribosomal RNA
Source: RNAcentral
AGCGGCGGACGGGUGAGUAAUGCCUAGGAAUCUGCCUGGUAGUGGGGGAUAACGCUCGGAAACGGACGCUAAUACCGCAUACGUCCUACGGGAGAAAGCAGGGGACCUUCGGGCCUUGCGCUAUCAGAUGAGCCUAGGUCGGAUUAGCUAGUUGGUGAGGUAAUGGCUCACCAAGGCGACGAUCCGUAACUGGUCUGAGAGGAUGAUCAGUCACACUGGAACUGAGACACGGUCCAGACUCCUACGGGAGGCAGCAGUGGGGAAUAUUGGACAAUGGGCGAAAGCCUGAUCCAGCCAUGCCGCGUGUGUGAAGAAGGUCUUCGGAUUGUAAAGCACUUUAAGUUGGGAGGAAGGGCAUUAACCUAAUACGUUGGUGUCUUGACGUUACCGACAGAAUAAGCACCGGCUAACUCUGUGCCAGCAGCCGCGGUAAUACAGAGGGUGCAAGCGUUAAUCGGAAUUACUGGGCGUAAAGCGCGCGUAGGUGGUUUGUUAAGUUGGAUGUGAAAUCCCCGGGCUCAACCUGGGAACUGCAUUCAAAACUGACAAGCUAGAGUAUGGUAGAGGGUGGUGGAAUUUCCUGUGUAGCGGUGAAAUGCGUAGAUAUAGGAAGGAACACCAGUGGCGAAGGCGACCACCUGGACUGAUACUGACACUGAGG